CCUACGGGGGGCAGCAGUGAGGAAUAUUGGUCAAUGGACGCAAGUCUGAACCAGCCAAGUAGCGUGAAGGAUGACUGCCCUAUGGGUUGUAAACUUCUUUUAUAUGGGAAUAAAAUGUUUCACGUGUGGGAUUUUGUAUGUACCAUAUGAAUAAGGAUCGGCUAAUUCCGUGCCAGCAGCCGCGGUAAUACGGAGGAUCCGAGCGUUAUCCGGAUUUAUUGGGUUUAAAGGGAGCGCAGGUGGCUGGGUAAGUGAGUUGUGAAAGUGUGCGGCUCAACCGUAAAAUUGCAGUUGAAACUGGCAGGCUUGAGUGCAGUAGAGGUGGGCGGAAUUCGUGGUGUAGCGGUGAAAUGCUUAGAUAUCACGAAGAACUCCGAUUGCGAAGGCAGCUCACUGGACUGCAACUGACACUGAGGCUCGAAAGUGUGGGUAUCAAACAGGAUUAGAUACCCCAGUAGUC
This 460-nucleotide ribosomal RNA is filed under the name uncultured bacterium. Its description in RNAcentral is "partial 16S ribosomal RNA". It matches the Rfam family "Bacterial small subunit ribosomal RNA", at positions 338 to 795 of the family's 1533-position model. The record is from RNAcentral.